This 464-nucleotide ribosomal RNA is filed under the name Spodiopsar cineraceus. RNAcentral describes it as "partial 16S ribosomal RNA". It matches the Rfam family "Bacterial large subunit ribosomal RNA", at positions 1970 to 2594 of the family's 2925-position model. The record is from RNAcentral. Lineage: Eukaryota; Metazoa; Chordata; Aves; Passeriformes; Sturnidae.
UGUCCCAUAAAUCGAGACUAGUAUGAAUGGCUAAACGAGGUCUUAACUGUCUCUUGCAGGCAAUCGGUGAAAUUGAUCUCCCUGUGCAAAAGCAGGGAUAAACCCAUAAGACGAGAAGACCCUGUGGAACUUCAAAACCAGCGGCCACCCCAAAAUACAUAAACACCCACUGGGCUCACUUAUACACUAAGCCACUGGCCCGCGUUUUUCGGUUGGGGCGACCUUGGAGAAAAACAGAUCCUCCAAAAAUUAGACCACCCCUCUAGACUGAGAGCAACCCCUCAACGUGCUAAUAGCAACCAGACCCAAUAUAAUUGAUCUAUGGACCAAGCUACCCCAGGGAUAACAGCGCAAUCUCCCUCGAGAGUCCGUAUCGACGGGGAGGUUUACGACCUCGAUGUUGGAUCAGGACAUCCUAGUGGUGCAGCCGCUACUAAGGGUUCGUUUGUUCAACGAUUAACAGU